RNAcentral lists this ribosomal RNA (256 nucleotides) under uncultured bacterium. RNAcentral's name for it is "partial 16S ribosomal RNA". It matches the Rfam family "Bacterial small subunit ribosomal RNA", at positions 524 to 776 of the family's 1533-position model. The record is from RNAcentral.
GACGUAGGUGGCGAACGUUAUCCGGAAUUAUUGGGCGUAAAGGGUGCGUAGGUGGCCUGACAAGUUAUCAGUGGCAAAUCGAGGCUCAACCUCGUGGAAACUGGUAAUACUGUCCGGCUUGAGUGCAGGAGAGGUUAACGGAACUCUAUGUGGAGGGGUAAAAUCCAUAGAUAUAUAGAUGAGCAUCAAUAAAGGCGAAGGCAGUUAACUAUUCUGUUACUGACACUGAGGCACGAAAGCGUGGGUAGCAAACAGG